GAUCCUCAUACGGUGAGAACUGGUAGGAGUUACUAUACUCACCCUAAUAUACAAGUGACUGUCACCAUCAUUUGUAUUGUCUGCACCAGAGCUCUGUGCAAUAUCCCUGACAGGUAUCUUGCUAAGUCUAUGUAUGAUUUUACCAUCUCAUAUUAUUUGUCGCACUAAAAACAUAAAAAAAAACCUAUCAAAUUCUUUAAAAAAAUCAGGAUCACCCAUAAAAACUAUUGAAUUA
RNAcentral lists this long non-coding RNA (235 nucleotides) under Lathyrus oleraceus (garden pea). Its description in RNAcentral is "Pisum sativum (pea) long non-coding RNA (PSAT_LNC016458)". Lineage: Eukaryota; Viridiplantae; Streptophyta; Magnoliopsida; Fabales; Fabaceae. The record is from RNAcentral.